GACGAACGCUGGCGGCGUGCUUAACACAUGCAAGUCGAACGGAAAGGCCUCUUUCGGGGGGUACUCGAGUGGCGAACGGGUGAGUAACACGUGAGUAACCUGCCCUUGACUUUGGGAUAACUUCAGGAAACUGGGGCUAAUACCGGAUAGGAGCUCCUGCUGCAUGGUGGGGGUUGGAAAGUUUCGGCGGUUGGGGAUGGACUCGCGGCUUAUCAGCUUGUUGGUGGGGUAGUGGCUUACCAAGGCUUUGACGGGUAGCCGGCCUGAGAGGGUGACCGGCCACAUUGGGACUGAGAUACGGCCCAGACUCCUACGGGAGGCAGUAGUGGGGAAUAUUGCACAAUGGGUGGAAGCCUGAUGCAGCAACGCCGUGUGCGGGAUGACGGCCUUCGGGUUGUAAACCGCUUUCGCUCAUGACGAAGCUUUGUGUGACGGUAGUGGGUAAAGAAGCACCGGCUAACUACGUG
RNAcentral lists this ribosomal RNA (467 nucleotides) under uncultured bacterium. Its description in RNAcentral is "partial 16S ribosomal RNA". It matches the Rfam family "Bacterial small subunit ribosomal RNA", at positions 28 to 507 of the family's 1533-position model. The record is from RNAcentral.